AAACGAUAAAAUCCAAGAAAAAUAUAAAUUCAAGAAAAUAAAAUACAAAAAAAUAAAAAUCAGAUGAAGAAAAAUAAAAGAAAAUUUUAUAAAUUAUUUUGGGAUUUUUUGGAUAAGAAAUGAAUUUUCUAUGAAUUUUUAAAGAAAAUGAAAUUUAAAAUAAGAAAGAAAAACUAAAAAAAAACAAGAGGCGUUGGAUCUGACCUCAUUAAUUGACGUGGCAGAUCCAACAACCAUCAGGAUAGGGCGCACUGUGGAAAA
This 261-nucleotide long non-coding RNA is filed under the name Lathyrus oleraceus (garden pea). RNAcentral's name for it is "Pisum sativum (pea) long non-coding RNA (PSAT_LNC001089)". Lineage: Eukaryota; Viridiplantae; Streptophyta; Magnoliopsida; Fabales; Fabaceae. The record is from RNAcentral.